CUUCACCGAUCCCAGCCACAGCGGCCGUUGGCCCGCCGCCCGGUCCUGUCCGUACGUCGCGAGCAGCGCCUGCGCCUC
RNAcentral lists this antisense RNA (78 nucleotides) under Streptomyces aurantiacus JA 4570. Its description in RNAcentral is "ASpks TB sRNA". It matches the Rfam family "ASpks TB sRNA". The record is from Rfam by way of RNAcentral. Lineage: Bacteria; Bacillati; Actinomycetota; Actinomycetes; Kitasatosporales; Streptomycetaceae.